Molecule: ribosomal RNA, 487 nt
Filed under: uncultured bacterium
Lineage: Bacteria
Description: partial 16S ribosomal RNA
Rfam family: Bacterial small subunit ribosomal RNA
Source: RNAcentral
GACGAACGCUGGCGGCGUGCUUAACACAUGCAAGUCGAACGGAAAGGCCCCCAUCUUGGUGGGGGUGCUCGAGUGGCGAACGGGUGAGUAACACGUUGGUGAUCUGCCCUGUACUUCGGGAUAAGCUUGGGAAACUGGGUCUAAUACCGGAUAUGACCAUGGUUUAGUGUCUCAUGGUGGUAAGAUUAUUGUUUUGGUGCCGGAUGAGCUCGCGGCCUAUCAGCUUGUUGGUGGGGUAAUGGCCUACCAAGGCGUCGACGGGUAGCCGGCCUGGGAGGGUGGACGGCCACAUGGGGACGGCGAUACGGCCAAGACGCCUACGGGAGGCAGCAGUGGGGAAUAUGGCGCAAUGAGCGCAAGCCUGUGGCAGCGACGCCGCGUGGGGGAUGACGGGUUGCGGGUUGUAAACUCCUUGCGUUAGGGACGAAGCCACGCUUUUGGAGUGUGGUGACGGUACCUUUGUUAAGAAGCACCGGCUAACUACGUG